This 445-nucleotide ribosomal RNA is filed under the name uncultured bacterium. RNAcentral's name for it is "partial 16S ribosomal RNA". It matches the Rfam family "Bacterial small subunit ribosomal RNA", at positions 354 to 796 of the family's 1533-position model. The record is from RNAcentral.
GUGAGGAAUAUUGGUCAAUGGGCGAGAGCCUGAACCAGCCAAGUAGCGUGCAGGAUGACGGCCCUAUGGGUUGUAAACUGCUUUUACACGGGGAUAAAGUGUGCGACGUGUCGUUCAUUGCAGGUACCGUGCGAAUAAGGACCGGCUAAUUCCGUGCCAGCAGCCGCGGUAAUACGGAAGGUCCGGGCGUUAUCCGGAUUUAUUGGGUUUAAAGGGAGCGUAGGCCGUCUGUUAAGCGUGUUGUGAAAUGUAGAUGCUCAACAUCUGAAUUGCAUCGCGAACUGACCGACUUGAGUGCGCAGGAAGUAGGCGGAAUUCGUGGUGUAGCGGUGAAAUGCUUAGAUAUCACGAAGAACUCCGAUUGCGAAGGCAGCUUACUGUAGCGCCACUGACGCUGAAGCUCGAAAGUGCGGGUAUCGAACAGGAUUAGAAACCCGUGUAGUCC